This is a long non-coding RNA of Danio aesculapii, 2557 nucleotides long. RefSeq lists it as uncharacterized. The transcript is spliced from 2 exons. Lineage: Eukaryota; Metazoa; Chordata; Actinopteri; Cypriniformes; Danionidae. The record is from RefSeq and is a predicted model, not a curated record.
GACGUUCGCAUGGACGCCGAAGACAAUGGGGCAAAAAGGACGCGAUCAACACACCCUUGCUCUGGCGGGCGAAAUUAAAACGCAUCAGUCAUUUACAGCAGGUAUUUUGAGAGUUAACUACUCACUCCUGCUCCCUUCUGAAUCAUCUGAACAGCUACCUUGAGGAAUCUGAGUUCCCAGUGGGUCACCAUGGAUACCGGUAGAGGUUCAGACUCAUCUCAGGAGUCAGAGGAGGAGAGAAGGAGCCCCGCUGCGGCUGGCAGGGCAGAACGUCGUGUUUUAACAGCAAUGCCAUGGGACUACCCACAAUCCCCCAGAUACACCAUCUCUAGUAGCUGUAACUAAGGAUGCCCUUGCUGUGAUCUCCUCUCAGAGCACUCUAUAGGCGGGCCCUCUCCCCCUUGAAUUUCUUUAAACAUUUUGAUUUAAUUUUGCAUUGCAGUAUUCUGACCAUGGGUUACUUACCCGUUUUGGUUUGACAAGUGACCUUUUUAUUUGCAUUUGAACUAAAAUGACUGAUUGUAAAAUACCUUAGUGUCACAAUCUUAACAACAACACCUGCUCAAUCACACUGGCACUGCAGCAAGUGUAAAUGCUACGCUAAGUGUAUAAAAGACACAAUUGGCAUCCAAAAUCACCUACUAGAAUAAGUACUACAUUUGAAAUUGAAGUAUGAUUUUAAGUCUAUAGUAUGACUUUGAGAAGUAUGAAUGAAAUGUCACUAAACUUGGGUCAGACUCUUAGGAGGCUAGAAACAGCAUGCUAAAAAACAGCAUAAUGUAUAAUCAAGUAGAAUGUUAAAACAUGUUAGACAUGUAGAAGCAAUGCUAACAUGCUACUUCAUAUUACUAUAGUGUUAAUGUUAGAUAUUUGCUAGCAUGGUGUUAAAACAUUUUAAGAUGUUACAGCUCAUUAGCCAUGUGUGGAAACAUGUUAGCAACUUUUUAAUGCAUGUUAGCAUAAUGUAAAAACAUUUAAAGUGUAGUAACAUGAUAAAAAAUAUGCUAGUAAAAAGCUGUUUGCUAUAUUUAUUGGUGAAAUGUUAAGCCUAUUUAUAUACCAGCAUAUAUGUUAAAACAUUUUAGCCAUGUUGAAACAUAAAGCUAAAACAUGUUCAUGCAUGUUAGAAACAAAGUAGCAUGGUUAAACAUGCUAGCAACAUGCUAAAUGUUAAAAUGUUUACUAUUUACUUACUCCCAGGGCGUUUAUAUCGAAGUUGAUAUUUGGUCACACCAUGUUGGUGUUUCAUAACAUCAAAUAUUUAGGAGGUGUGUUGUUAGCUCAAUGCUCAACCCCCAACCUGGAGGACCAGGACAUACACACACUAUGGACAGUUUAGCUUACCCAAUUCACCCAUGGUGCAUGUCUUUGGACUUGUGCGGGAAACCAGAGCACCCAGUGGAAACCCACGUGAACACAGGAAGAACAUGCAAACUCCACACUGAAAUGCCAACUGACCUAGCCGGGGCUCGAACCAGUGACCUUCUUGCUGUGAGGCGACAGUGCUAGCCACUGUGCCACCCAAAAUGUUAACAAUUUUUUUUUAACAAAUUUAUAACACCUUAGCUAUGUGUUAUAAUGUUAGAAGCAUGCUGGUGACCUUGAAGAUAACAAGUAAACAUUGUGGUAAAACAUCAACACAUAAGCAACACCAUGUUAAUACAUUUUUUCUCUUCCUCGAAAACACGUGUACAUUACAGAAAUGUCUAUUUGUGCUUUACCUCUGCUAGACAUGUUUUUAGACUUUAUGCUCAUCUCCAAUAUGAGAUAACUGAAAUGUAAAAUCAAUCUUUAGACUUUGUCUUUAUUUCUUUCAUACUUUAAAUUUCACCCUAUAGGUUAGCUACUUACAGCUUACACAAACGUUCAGACAAGGCUUUGUCAGACUUCACGUUGCUAUAUUUGCUGUACCUUGCAAUUGUAUGAGUGUUUUCCCUCUUAACAGUGUUUAUCUGCUCUCUUUUGUGUAGUAGACACAAAUACACACUCGGGCAUGUAAUUUUGUCAUUUUUUUUUCUGGUAAAAGAUUUAGAUUUAAAUGAGCUUCACUGAUUCAUUUUAGUCCAAUUUCUCCACUUCUGUAUAAUUUGUAUUUUUUAAUACUGCCUGCAAUAUGCAAUAACAUUACUGGUUUCAUACUUAUACUGCCUCUUUUUCACACACCACUUGCUUUUUCACGGUUUCAAUCUAUUUUUGAUUAUUUUCUCCCUGCAGGUGCAGCUUUCUGUCUCUCUCUCUUCCCGAGAGUGAGUAAUAACUGAGAGGUCAUAAGAAGAGCAUCCUGUUUGAGUAAUGAAACCAUGACUAUAUGAGGGGAGGAUAAGCAGCACAUCUGGGCCAGCCCUAUCAUCUCUAAAUGCAGAUAAAGACAAACAUUGUGCAAAAUGAGUUGCAAACCACUUCAAAUCAUGCAGGCUGAUUAGCAGGUUAUGACUUUUCUAACAGACAGGCAAAUGUUAACUUAGACUAAGAAAAAUGUUCUUGGACUUUGAGGGAAUGUGUUUUUUAUAUCAGACACACACAGUGCAAAAUAAAAAGAAUUUAAUACAAACUUCAA